AUUGAACGCUGGCGGCAGGCCUAACACAUGCAAGUCGAACGGUAGCACAGAGAGCUUGCUCUCGGGUGACGAGUGGCGGACGGGUGAGUAAUGUCUGGGAAACUGCCCGAUGGAGGGGGAUAACUACUGGAAACGGUAGCUAAUACCGCAUAAUGUCGCAAGACCAAAGAGGGGGACUUUCGGGCCUCUUGCCAUCGGAUGUGCCCAGAUGGGAUUAGCUAGUUGGUGAGGUAAUGGCUCACCAAGGCGACGAUCCCUAGCUGGUCUGAGAGGAUGACCAGCCACACUGGAACUGAGACACGGUCCAGACUCCUACGGGAGGCAGCAGUGGGGAAUAUUGCACAAUGGGCGCAAGCCUGAUGCAGCCAUGCCGCGUGUAUGAAGAAGGUCUUCGGGUUGUAAAGUACUUUCAGCGGGGAGGAAGGCAAUGCGGUUAAUAACCGUGUUGAUUGACGUUACCCGCAGAAGAAGCACCGGCUAACUCUGUG
Molecule: ribosomal RNA, 488 nt
Filed under: uncultured bacterium
Lineage: Bacteria
Description: partial 16S ribosomal RNA
Rfam family: Bacterial small subunit ribosomal RNA
Source: RNAcentral